AAUAAACCUAUGAGCAAGAGUAGUAAGAAUAGCUGUAUGCACAAAGAGAGCUGCUGGUUGCUGGGAAUGCAGUUGCAAAGGUUAUUCCGAAUGGACUUGUGAGGGAAGUCCGAAAUUGUAAAAGAGUAGGCGCUUACGGGAGCCCUGUCCGUUAUCAGUGGGGUGCAUAUGUUAGUAUGCAAAAUGAGAGGACGAUUUACUCGUCAAUUUGGGUGGCACCACAGAAGUUGAAGGCUUUUGUCCCUAUC
This 248-nucleotide non-coding RNA is filed under the name Acetivibrio straminisolvens. RNAcentral describes it as "Clostridium straminisolvens T-box sequence". It matches the Rfam family "T-box leader". From Rfam's summary of the family: Uncharged tRNA acts as the effector for transcription antitermination of genes in the T-box leader family. The record is from RNAcentral. Lineage: Bacteria; Bacillati; Bacillota; Clostridia; Acetivibrionales; Acetivibrionaceae.